Molecule: ribosomal RNA, 492 nt
Filed under: uncultured bacterium
Lineage: Bacteria
Description: partial 16S ribosomal RNA
Rfam family: Bacterial small subunit ribosomal RNA
Source: RNAcentral
AGUGAACGCUGGCGGUAGGCCUAACACAUGCAAGUCGAACGGCAGCACAGUAAGAGCUUGCUCUUACGGGUGGCGAGUGGCGGACGGGUGAGGAAUACAUCGGAAUCUACUUUUUCGUGGGGGAUAACGUAGGGAAACUUACGCUAAUAACGCAUACGACCUACGGGUGAAAGCCGGGGAUCUUCGGACCUUGCGCGAUUGAAUGAGCCGAUGUCGGAUUAGCUAGUUGGCGGGGUAAAGGCCCACCAAGGCGACGAUCCGUAGCUGGUCUGAGAGGAUGAUCAGCCACACUGGAACUGAGACACGGUCCAGACUCCUACUGGAGGCAGCAUUGGGGAAUAUUGGACAAUGGGCGCAAGCCUGAUCCAGCCAUACCGCGUGGGUGAAGAAGGCCUUCGGGUUGUAAAGCCCUUUUGUUGGGAAAGAAAAGCAGCAGGUUAAUACCCCGCUGUUCUGACGGUACCCAAAGAAUAAGCACCGGCUAACUUCGUG